GAUCCUGGCUCAGGACGAACGCUGGCGGCGUGCUUAACACAUGCAAGUCGAACGAGAAUCUACUGAAAGAGUUUUUCGGACAAUUGGAAGUAGAGGAAAGUGGCGGACGGGUGAGUAACGCGUGAGGAACCUGCCUUGAAGAGGGGGGACAACAGUUGGAAACGACUGCUAAUACCGCAUGAAGCAUAGGGGUCGCAUGAUUCUUAUGCCAAAGAUUUAUCGCUUCAAGAUGGCCUCGCGU
This 241-nucleotide ribosomal RNA is filed under the name uncultured bacterium. Its description in RNAcentral is "partial 16S ribosomal RNA". It matches the Rfam family "Bacterial small subunit ribosomal RNA", at positions 15 to 236 of the family's 1533-position model. The record is from RNAcentral.